UACCGAUAAUAUUCCAAUCGUUCGCCGA
Molecule: small RNA, 28 nt
Filed under: Bombyx mori (domestic silkworm)
Lineage: Eukaryota; Metazoa; Arthropoda; Insecta; Lepidoptera; Bombycidae
Description: ovarian small RNA-20714
Source: RNAcentral